GAUGAACGCUAGCUACAGGCUUAACACAUGCAAGUCGAGGGGAAACGGCAUUGAGUGCUUGCACUCUUUGGACGUCGACCGGCGCACGGGUGAGUAACGCGUAUCCAACCUUCCCAUUACUGUGGGAUAACCUGCCGAAAGGCAGACUAAUACCGCAUAGUCUUCGAUGACGGCAUCAGAUUUGAAGUAAAGAUUUAUCGGUAAUGGAUGGGGAUGCGUCUGAUUAGCUUGUUGGCGGGGUAACGGCCCACCAAGGCUACGAUCAGUAGGGGUUCUGAGAGGAAGGUCCCCCACAUUGGAGCUGAGACACGGUCCAAACUCCUACGGGAGGCAGCAGUGAGGAAUAUUGGUCAAUGGACGGAAGUCUGAACCAGCCAAGUAGCGUGCAGGAUGACGGCCCUAUGGGUUGUAAACUGCUUUUGUAUGGGGAUAAAGUUAGGGACGUGUCCCUAUUUGCAGGUACCAUACGAAUAAGGACCGGCUAAUUCCGUG
This 492-nucleotide ribosomal RNA is filed under the name uncultured bacterium. RNAcentral describes it as "partial 16S ribosomal RNA". It matches the Rfam family "Bacterial small subunit ribosomal RNA", at positions 28 to 507 of the family's 1533-position model. The record is from RNAcentral.